UGAGGAAUAUUGGUCAAUGGGCGUAAGCCUGAACCAGCCAAGUCGCGUGAAGGAAGACAGCCCUACGGGUCGUAAACUUCUUUUGUAUGGGAGUAAAAGAGUCCACGCGUGGGCUAUUGCAAGUACCAUACGAAUAAGCAUCGGCUAACUCCGUGCCAGCAGCCGCGGUAAUACGGAGGAUGCGAGCGUUAUCCGGAUUUAUUGGGUUUAAAGGGUGCGUAGGCGGCCCUAUAAGUCAGCGGUGAAAUGUUCCGGCUCAACCGGGAAACUGCCGUUGAAACUGUAGAGCUAGAGUCCACAAGAGGUAUGCGGAAUGCGUGGUGUAGCGGUGAAAUGCAUAGAUAUCACGCAGAACCCCGAUUGCGAAGGCAGCAUACUGGGGUGAAACAGACGCUGAAGCACGAAAGCGUGGGUAUCGAACAGGAUUAGAUACCCUGGUAGUCCACGCCGUAAACGAUGAAUACUAACUGUUUGCGAUAUACAGUAAGCGGUACAGCGAAAGCGUUAAGUAUUCCACCUGGGGAGUACGCCGGCAACGGUGAAACUCAAAGGAAUUGACGGGGGCCCGCACAAGCGGAGGAACAUGUGGUUUAAUUCGAUGAUACGCGAGGAACCUUACCCGGGCUCAAACGCAGGGGGAAUACGUAUGAAAGUACGUAGCUAGCAAUAGCCGCCUGCGAGGUGCUGCAUGGUUGUCGUCAGCUCGUGUCGUGAGGUGUCGGCUUAAGUGCCAUAACGAGCGCAACCCUUAUCGAUAGUUACUACCAGGUCAAGCUGAGGACUCAAUCGAGACUGCCAGCGUAAGCUGCGAGGAAGGUGGGGAUGACGUCAAAUCAGCACGGCCCUUACGUCCGGGGCGACACACGUGUUACAAUGGCAGGGACAGCGAGUAGCCAGGCAGCAAUGCCGCGCCAAUCUCGAAACCCUGUCCCAGUUCGGAUCGGAGUCUGCAACCCGACUCCGUGAAGCUGGAUUCGCUAGUAAUCGCGCAUCAGCCAUGGCGCGGUGAAUACGUUCCC
This 1019-nucleotide ribosomal RNA is filed under the name uncultured bacterium. Its description in RNAcentral is "bacterial SSU rRNA". It matches the Rfam family "Bacterial small subunit ribosomal RNA", at positions 355 to 1375 of the family's 1533-position model. The record is from RNAcentral.